Nothobranchius furzeri (turquoise killifish) is the source of this 458-nucleotide non-coding RNA. The record is from RefSeq and is a predicted model, not a curated record. NCBI's taxonomy places the organism in Eukaryota, Metazoa, Chordata, Actinopteri, Cyprinodontiformes, Nothobranchiidae.
CCAGCAUGGAUGCCGGAUCUCAGCAGCCACUGAAUUCAGUUCGGUCUCUUCUCCAGUAUCCGUUCGAGAGGAGAACUAUGGUGGAAAAACUUAAUGUCAAAGAGCUUGGACCAGAUCAGCCCGACGUAAAGAUAAGCCAGCAGGAGAAGGAGAGAGAUAAGGCAUGGAUGAGUCAGGAGUUACAGACAUGAAACAUUUUUCUGAGAAGGGGAAGAAACACGAGUCAUCCCGGGCACACAUGGACAACAACACGGUGAAGCUAGCCAUGCUAGGCAGCAGAGCUAACGUUGCCAUGCAGGGAACAACAGCAGCUGGGUGCAGAGGUUUUUCACACCAUCCUGAGCCAUGCAAAAGAAGAUUCUUGUCACCACACCCAUGACCACAGCCGAAUCAGAAAGGUGCUUUUCAACUUUAAAGAGGAUUAAGACUUUCCUUGAGGAACACCAUGACACAGGAUG